This 83-nucleotide long non-coding RNA is filed under the name Oryctolagus cuniculus (rabbit). RNAcentral describes it as "lncRNA (ENSOCUG00000032520.1)". The record is from RNAcentral. Lineage: Eukaryota; Metazoa; Chordata; Mammalia; Lagomorpha; Leporidae.
CGUCCCCGAGGUCCCCUCUGUGUGACUGUGUCCUCAUCCCUAAGGUCCCCUGUGUGACCGUGUCCUCGUCCCCGAGGUCCCCU